AAUAAAACAUAAAUUUCCGUGUUCAACGUUUAACCGUCUGUCUUAUUUAAAAAAAUUAUAAAAAAAAAUAAAAAGACUAAUCACGCAUAAAGUAUUAAUUAUGUUUUAUCAUCUAACAAUAAUGAAAAUACUAAUUAUAAAAAAUUUUCAUAUAAGAUGAACAGUCAACGUUGGACAUGUAAACCCAGAUUUGUUUUUUUU
Molecule: non-coding RNA, 201 nt
Organism: Oryza meridionalis
Lineage: Eukaryota; Viridiplantae; Streptophyta; Magnoliopsida; Poales; Poaceae
Source: Rfam